RNAcentral lists this non-coding RNA (793 nucleotides) under Pongo abelii (Sumatran orangutan). The record is from RNAcentral. Lineage: Eukaryota; Metazoa; Chordata; Mammalia; Primates; Hominidae.
AACCAGAGGUCAUUCCCUCUCUCUGCUAAGUACCUGAUUGCCUUGCAAGAAGGAAGAGGUUUUAAAAGUUUUCAAAGCUAACAGGUGUCCAAAGGAGAUUACACCUGCAAAUCAGGUUUAUAAUGUACAACCUGAAACAUUCCAUUGAUGAUAAAUGAACUUAACUGAAACAGAAGCACGUCAUGUUCUUGAACUGUGCCAGCAGAUUUUACAGUUUCUAGAGGAACCACAGAAUUCCUUCUGCUUAAGAAGUCAUUCAGAUAACCUAAACAGGUUACUGAGACUCACCAUGGACAUUGGUACAUGCUGGUUAACUGUAUUGACUUGGAUUUACAAAGCUUUCCUGAAAAUUAUAUCCUAAGUACUACAAAACUAGAAAGACUUGAACAUUUUCCGACCACGGCAUUUCAAGUUUGCUUAAACAAACAAACAAAUAAACAAAAAAGCAGAAAUUGAAGAAAUACUCAGCAUUGAGAAAGAAUCAAGUUGUAAUGUAACAGCAAAAUUUUACCCUUGUUGACAAUAUGUACGAUGGCUUCUGGUCCCAAGGUGUCAUACAGAGGUACGGCUACCAUGGAGUACGUGUAACAAGCCAAUUCGGAGAUGAUCCACUGUAUGGAGAGAAGUUCAAUGUGAUAACGAACUAAUACAGACAGCAUGACAUCAUUGUGUGGAUACACAUUAGCAAGCUUGAAAACUACAGGAAAUAAAACUGGAAAGGAACGGACAUGAGGGAUACAUGUGCACAGAGAAAAGUCCGUGUGAAGACAAAAUGAAAAAGUGGCUGUCUACA